CCAAGUAUGUAUCUAAGCCAGCCUGUUAUAUUAUCUACCUAUACAUAAAUUAAGAAUCUAGUACCAUACCUAUUUGUUUAAGUCUAGUUUGUCAAACAAAUAUCAUUUUCUAAUAUGCAUAAUACCACUCGGCGUUAUUAAAACACUAUAUGUCAACUUCUAACACAUCACCCUCCCCAUAAGAUAAUCUCCAGCCCCUCCUUGAGCCAAUCAUAUCUAACUUUAAAAGUCAAAAAUGCCGACACAAA
Molecule: long non-coding RNA, 248 nt
Filed under: Brassica napus (rape)
Lineage: Eukaryota; Viridiplantae; Streptophyta; Magnoliopsida; Brassicales; Brassicaceae
Description: long non-coding RNA (BNAP_LNC013318)
Source: RNAcentral